RNAcentral lists this ribosomal RNA (510 nucleotides) under uncultured bacterium. RNAcentral's name for it is "partial 16S ribosomal RNA". It matches the Rfam family "Bacterial small subunit ribosomal RNA", at positions 28 to 507 of the family's 1533-position model. The record is from RNAcentral.
GACGAACGCUGGCGGCGUGCUUAACACAUGCAAGUCGAACGAAGAGCGAUGGAAGCUUGCUUCUAUCAAUCUUAGUGGCGAACGGGUGAGUAACGCGUAAUCAACCUGCCCUUCAGAGGGGGACAACAGUUGGAAACGACUGCUAAUACCGCAUACGAUCUAAUCUCGGCAUCGAGGGUGGAUGAAAGGUUGCCUCUACAUGUAAGCUAUCACUGAAGGAGGGUAUUGCGUCGGAUUAGCUAGCUGGAGGGGUAACGGCCCACCAAGGCGAUGAUCAGUAGACGGUCUGAGAGGAUGAACGGCCAAAUCGGGAAUGAGACAAGGCCCAGAACCCUACGGGAGGGAGCAGUGGGGAAUCUUCCGCAAUGGACGACAGUCUGACGGCGCAAAGCCGGGUGAGUGAUGAAGGCCUUCGGGUUGUAAAACUCUGUUAAUCGGGAAGGAAGGCCUUCUUGCGAAUAGUGAGAAGGAUUGACGGUACCGGAAGAGAAAGCCACGGCUAACUACGUG